Molecule: small RNA, 79 nt
Filed under: Roseospirillum parvum
Lineage: Bacteria; Pseudomonadati; Pseudomonadota; Alphaproteobacteria; Rhodospirillales; Rhodospirillaceae
Description: Makes More Granules Regulator RNA (mmgR)
Rfam family: Makes More Granules Regulator RNA (mmgR)
About the family: SuhB later renamed mmgR (makes more granules regulator) was a putative non-coding RNA found multiple times in the Agrobacterium tumefaciens genome and related alpha-proteobacteria. Other non-coding RNAs uncovered in the same analysis include: speF, ybhL, metA, and serC.
Source: Rfam by way of RNAcentral
CCGGGUUGCGCUUUCUGGACGUUUCCUCCCUAGACUCCGAGCCGUGGGGCCUUGUCCCCACGGCUUUUUUUUGCCCGCG